Molecule: ribosomal RNA, 388 nt
Filed under: uncultured bacterium
Lineage: Bacteria
Description: bacterial SSU rRNA
Rfam family: Bacterial small subunit ribosomal RNA
Source: RNAcentral
AUUGAACGCUGGCGGCAUGCCUUACACAUGCAAGUCGAACGGCAGCACGGGAGCAAUCCUGGUGGCGAGUGGCGAACGGGUGAGUAAUAUAUCGGAACGUGCCCAGUCGUGGGGAUAACGUAGCGAAAGCUACGCUAAUACCGCAUACGAUCUACGGAUGAAAGCGGGGGAUCGCAAGACCUCGCGCGAUUGGAGCGGCCGAUAUCAGAUUAGGUAGUUGGUGAGGUAAAGGCUCACCAAGCCGACGAUCUGUAGCUGGUCUGAGAGGACGACCAGCCACACUGGGACAGAGACACGGCCCAGACUCCUACGGGAGGCAGCAGUGGGGAAUUUUGGGACAAUGGGCGCAAGCCUGAUCCAGCAAUGCCGCGUGCAGGAUGAAGGCCUU